CCCAGACUCCUACGGGAGGCAGCAGUGGGGGAUAUUGCACAAUGGGGGGAACCCUGAUGCAGCGACGCCGCGUGGGUGAAGGAGCGUUUCGGCGCGUAAAGCCCUCUCGGCAGGGAAGAAGGAGGACGGUACCUGACUAGGAAGCCCCGGCUAACUACGUGCCAGCAGCCGCGGUAAUACGUAGGGGGCAAGCGUUAUCCGGAUUUACUGGGUGUAAAGGGGGCGCAGACGGCAGCGCAAGCCAGGAGUGAAAGCCCGGGGCCCAACCCCGGGACUGCUCUUGGAACUGCGCGGCUGGAGUGCAGGAGGGGCAGGCGGAAUUCCUGGUGUAGCGGUGAAAUGCGUAGAUAUCAGGAGGAACACCGGUGGCGAAGGCGGCCUGCUGGACUGCGACUGACGUUGAGGCCCGAAAGCGUGGGGAGCAAACAGGAUUAGAUACCCGCGUAA
This 447-nucleotide ribosomal RNA is filed under the name uncultured bacterium. RNAcentral describes it as "bacterial SSU rRNA". It matches the Rfam family "Bacterial small subunit ribosomal RNA", at positions 330 to 793 of the family's 1533-position model. The record is from RNAcentral.